GACGAACGCUGGCGGCGUGCUUAACACAUGCAAGUCGAACGGUGACGAGGAGCUUGCUCCUCCGAUCAGUGGCGAACGGGUGAGUAACACGUGAGUAACCUGCCCCAGACUCUGGAAUAACAGUUGGAAACAGCUGCUAAUACCGGAUACGAGACGGAGAGGCAUCUCUACCGUCUGGAAAGUUUUCGGUCUGGGAUGGACUCGCGGCCUAUCAGCUUGUUGGUGAGGUAAUGGCUCACCAAGGCGACGACGGGUAGCCGGCCUGAGAGGGCGACCGGCCACACUGGGACUGAGACACGGCCCAGACUCCUACGGGAGGCAGCAGUGGGGAAUAUUGCACAAUGGGCGAAAGCCUGAUGCAGCAACGCCGCGUGAGGGAUGACGGCCUUCGGGUCGUAAAGCACUUUUUGGAAGGAAUAGGAAGGAAUGUACUUCCAGAAUAAGUCUCGGCUAACUACGUG
RNAcentral lists this ribosomal RNA (461 nucleotides) under uncultured bacterium. Its description in RNAcentral is "bacterial SSU rRNA". It matches the Rfam family "Bacterial small subunit ribosomal RNA", at positions 28 to 507 of the family's 1533-position model. The record is from RNAcentral.